This 2352-nucleotide long non-coding RNA is filed under the name Capsicum annuum. RNAcentral's name for it is "long non-coding RNA (CANN_LNC000374)". Lineage: Eukaryota; Viridiplantae; Streptophyta; Magnoliopsida; Solanales; Solanaceae. The record is from RNAcentral.
CCCGGCUAGAUUAAAUUUAUCAAAAAGAGAUGAGGUAUAUUUAAAAUAAUGUAAAAAUGUAUGUAUUAAAUAUAAAAUAAUUCUUUUGAAUAAUAUAAAUGUUUUAAAACUAUGUAAAGAUAUAUGUAUAUUAAAUAUAUGAAUAGAAUAAAUUGUUAUAAAAUAUGUAAAGGACAUAUAUAAAAAUGUAUAAGUGAAUGUGAAAAGAAAAAGUAUUUUAUAAUGUAUGAAAAAGAAACGUAUUUUGAUGUGCCAUGAAAAGAAAAAGUAUUUACCAUUAAUACUUUUGAUCUGAUUAAAAUUACGGGGAAAAGUAAAAUUUAUUUGAUAAGAAAAGGCUAUAUAAUAUAUGAAUUACUUGAUUAACUUGAUUCUUUUAUGUAAGUGCAUCAAAAUAAUAUAUAUGUUUUGUCGUAAAAAAUAUAAACAAAAGCAUAUUAGUAUAUGUAUGUAAAGAAAAGAUAAGAUUAUAUAAAGAAAAAUCGUUCCAAAGGAUAAGCCUACGUAAUAUUUUUUAAUGUAAAAAGUAUAAAUUAUUUGAUUAAAUAAUCUAAGUCAAUCUAAUAUUUUUAUAUAAAUAUUAACGAAUUAAAUUUGCCUAAACGCGUGGUGAAGAUUAAAUAAAGAAUAUCCAGCUCAACACCCCAAAAAAUAAAGUUUUCACUAUGAUUAACAUUUGUACAAGUGAAAGAAUAUAAAAGAAUAAACACUCAAUUUAAAGUCUUCUUUAAAUGUCAUCCCGACAAGUAUUCCCAGUAACCUGUAUAAACACUUGUAACAAAAAUGUUAAUAACAAAUAAAUAAUACUCAAAAUAAAAUAAAAAAAUAUGUGCAUAUACGUAUUUAAAAAUAUAUUUUUUGUUAGUGAGUGGGCUCAAAUAAAGUUUUAAAAUAUAAUAAAAAUUUCGUCAUCGCCCAAAAAUAUUUAUUUUUUGUUACGUAUUUGUAUACAUAAUGUCUGUCUUUUAUUUGGGAAGGACUCAAAAACUGAUGGGGAUUUCUUCAUUGGCCAUGUGUCGGCACUUCGUAUAAACUAAUAAAUUUAAGAAAAAAUAGUAUCCGUCUUUCGUAAUGUGAUGACCUCAAAUAUCCAGACGGGAAAAUAAUUUCAUUGACCACAGUGUUUAUUUUGAUGCAAAAUAAGUAACCUUGAGGAAUAAAAUUCCAUAUCUAUUUUCGAUAUAAAAUAAAUAAUUUCAUUGGCCAUGUGUCGAUUUUUGAUAUAAAUAGUAAAUUAGAAAAGGUAAAGUUCGCCUUUGUAAUGGGAUGGCCUCAAAUAUUCCGACGGAGAGAUAAUUUCAUUGGCCGUGUAGUACAGUAUUUUUUUCUUUUCCAAAUCAGCAAAACAUAUAAAAAAUGAAGCGCUAUGAGGGUGAAAAUGUCCAGAAAUCAGCCCGUAAAGCAGCCAACAACAACAGUGACAAACGAAGGCAGGCAUACUUCCCCGAUAAGAUGCAAGAUUAAAUCCAAACAGGCCAUAGACAAAGAUAGAAAUAAUAAGAUCAUGGCAGUGAACAUAUAGUCAUAAACAGUGAUAACAGUAGCAUUAACCAACGGCAAGAGAGGACAUCAAAGUUCGCCUAUUUUAAUAGAGCCUUGUUGGAGAACGAGCAACCAAAGCUAGAUCUGUAGAGGUUUUAGAGCAACAUAAAAUUAACAAUCACAAUAAUUGAAGAAAAUGGAGACAAAGUGCUACAAUAGUGGGGGCAGCGGUGUUGUUUCCGGCUGGAUCUCGCCGGCCACAACUCCGGCCAGACAACCAUGGCGUUGUGGUUGCAUCAGAAGUGAGGGGCGACGCGUGGUAUGCUUGGUAGCUGGAAGCUCGCCUGUUGGCAGCCAAAUCUGGUGAGGCAACGUGAAAAAUGAAAAAGGGAGAGGGGGAAGGGGAGAGAGAGAGUGUGAAGGGUCGUCGUGUGGUUGCUUUUGCUGAUGGAGGUGUGUGGUUGGGCGUUGGUGGUGGCAGCCAGCCGUCCGGUGUUCAAUUCCGACGGUCGGUGGUGAGAGAGAAAGGGGAGAAGAGAAGAGAGAUGUGAGAUUUAUGUAUUUGUGCGUGUAGUGUGUGUGUGUUGGUGCGUAUAUAUUAUUAUUUCCAAAGAAUUGUGUUGUUCCCCCUUUUUGAAGGGGAGAGGGUAGAAAAUAAAAUCUAUCCUUUGAAAUUUUGUCCCCCUUUUGUGUGUAAUUAUUAUACUGUGUAAAAAUAAAUUAUCUGAUUCAGUGUUUGUGGAUCGUAAAAAUACAAAAAUUAAUUUGUAAUUAUGGAAAAAUAAAAAAAAAAACAUGUUGAGAAUAUUGAAAAAAUGUAAUUAAUUUAAAAAUGUUAUAAAAAUAUGAUGUUCUGUCCUGCAGGUGUGU